Molecule: non-coding RNA, 70 nt
Organism: Podarcis lilfordi (Lilford's wall lizard)
Lineage: Eukaryota; Metazoa; Chordata; Lepidosauria; Squamata; Lacertidae
Source: the annotation of a GenBank genome assembly
GAAUGGCUCAGUGGGUCAGUGCGUUUGGCUGUGAACCAGAAGGUAGGUAGUUCAAGCCCACCCAGGGACA